Long non-coding RNA from Oncorhynchus mykiss (rainbow trout), 758 nucleotides. RefSeq lists it as uncharacterized. The record is from RefSeq and is a predicted model, not a curated record. NCBI's taxonomy places the organism in Eukaryota, Metazoa, Chordata, Actinopteri, Salmoniformes, Salmonidae.
CAAUGUGGGUGGAGUCAAACGCGUUUAACAAAAACCUUUCCCGGUCUCCUUCAAGGUCACCCAAGUUCUCAAUCGAACCUGACCUACAUGGAUAAAAAUAUAAACCAUGGAAGAUGAUGUAGAAGACGCCCCGAGAAGUCACAGCAUUUCACUUCAGCAUGCAGGAUCAGGUGAUACUGAAAACAAAAUGCACGGAAGCAGAUGUUCUUAUAAGGGACACCUUAGAGGCAGCAAGGUAGUGUGAACUCCAAACAUUUAAAGCCACUGUUUCCCUCCCCAGUGUAAUUGGGAUGGACAGGGAAGACUCCAUUACAACCCUUAAAGGACUACGGUUGUAUGAUGGCCUGGAUGAAGAGGAAAAUAUUCUCAAGGAACCAUUCAUGUUACAGAGAGAUUGAGAUAUUCUAUGUGGAGGCAGUUGACAACAAGAACAUUACUGUCUUUGCCUCUUGAGGAGCAGGAGUGAAGCCAUUUUUGAGGAGUGGUCAAACCUUGUUUUUGUCUGCUGUGUUAAUUGUUUCAAUUGUUAAUUGUGUUAAGUUGUUUAGUAAAGAUGACGUUGAAGUCACCCGAGUCUCUGAUCUCUGUACUGGAGCUGGUAUAACUUAAUGUACAAAGCACAUUCAGCUUGUCAGUAUGUCUAUAUGGUAUAGUCUGUCUCCAUUCUCAUGAGGAAAGUAAAUAGCAUUAUAAAUAAGGAUAGGUAGUAAUUGUGUGUGUGUGUGUGUGUGUAUAUAUAUAUAUAUAUAUAUAUAUAU